UACGUAGGGAGCAAGCGUUGUCCGGAAUCAUUGGGCGUAAAGCGCGCGUAGGUGGCCAUGUAAGUCCGCUGUGAAAGCCCCGGGCUCAACCUGGGAAUGGCAAUGGAUACUGGCGGGCUAGAGUGCGGUAGAGGGUAGUGGAAUUCCCGGUGUAGCGGUGAAAUGCGUAGAGAUCGGGAGGAACACCAGUGGCGAAGGCGGCUACCUGGACCAGCACUGACACUGAGGCACGAAAGCGUGGGGAGCAAACAGGG
This 254-nucleotide ribosomal RNA is filed under the name uncultured bacterium. RNAcentral's name for it is "partial 16S ribosomal RNA". It matches the Rfam family "Bacterial small subunit ribosomal RNA", at positions 524 to 777 of the family's 1533-position model. The record is from RNAcentral.